UGAGCAAUCUGCCCUUCUCUUCGGAAUAAGCGUUGGAAACGACGUCUAAUGCCGAAUACGACCUCCUUUCGCAUGAUCCGAGGUGGAAAGCUCCGGCGGAGAAGGAUGAGCUCGCGGCCUAUCAGCUAGUUGGUGUGGGUAAUGGCCCACCAAGGCGACGACGGGUAGCCGGCCUGAGAGGACGACCAGCCACACUGGAACUGAGACGCGGUCCAGACUCCGUACGGGAGCAG
Molecule: ribosomal RNA, 233 nt
Filed under: uncultured bacterium
Lineage: Bacteria
Description: partial 16S ribosomal RNA
Rfam family: Bacterial small subunit ribosomal RNA
Source: RNAcentral